Anas platyrhynchos (mallard) is the source of this 4185-nucleotide long non-coding RNA. RefSeq lists it as uncharacterized. Lineage: Eukaryota; Metazoa; Chordata; Aves; Anseriformes; Anatidae. The record is from RefSeq and is a predicted model, not a curated record.
UACCAUUCAUCCUAUUUCUUACUACACAGUUCUGGCACACUCAUUUUGUUUGUUUGCUUUAUUCUGAGCCAAACGGUUGCACCCAUCUGCUUUCAAAGAUGCAAAGAAUCACCUCCAAGCAGAUUGGCCAAUUUUUCAUUUUACUUGUAACACCUUUAAUUUCAUGCACAUUACGGAAGACAGCUUUAUUCUUUACAACAUCUGUGGUGCAAGUUAUCUGCUGAUACUGGCAUUUAUUAUCUAAUUACAUAUUUGCAUGCUUUGGCAUUACAUAGAUUUCACUUAGCUGCUUGGGUGUAAUUUCCAGUGCCCUGCCCUCAGCUAGGAAGAUUAAGUACAGACAUUUUUCAUAUUCUUGUUCUGAACACGAGCAUGCAAAGUUACCAUUUUCUUCCCUAGGACUUCUUGGGAUACUACUAAAAGAUCUGACUGAAAAGAUCGCCAUUUCUCUAUGAUUAUGGAAAAAAAAAAUCACACUUCCUAGUUAGGGGUGAUCUGAGACACUACUAUUCAAAAGGUUGAAAAAAAAUCUAAAGAAUGAGAAAUAGUUUCUAGCCAUGAAUGCUUUAAACAAAAUCUUGACAAAAUGAAUUGUGAAUGGACAAAGUUAACAGCAGCACAUUACUGAUGUAGUUACUGUUACUCCACCGUCAAGCUCAGAGGUGUUCUGUAGCUCCGUGCCUUCGGUCCGCAACAGAAAAAAAAUAUAUAUAUAUAUCAAUGAAAAGUUGGAAGGAGCAACCUGACAUGGAAAGGAACUUAAAUUCAAGCAACGAGGGCAAACAUUUAAACGUCCAAAGCGAGACAACAUACACCCUCCCAGACAAAUACAUUUACAUGCAUCUCCCACCUCCACCUCUACCUGUUUCUGGUGUGUUUUCCUCUUUGCACCUGUUCACUGCCUACUGCCUCUUUGCUUAUCCUGCCUCAGCCUCCUUAAAUUUAUAACGUGCAACAAGCCUCGAUCUCCCUAGAGAGGAACUGCGACACAACGUAGCAGCACCAAGUUCCCUCCAAAGGUAAGGAGCAAACUUCCUACAGAAGGAAAGUUGCUCAGGAAGAGGAAUGAAUCACUCAGCUCCAGCACCAAGGCCCUCACUGCCACAGAACGGGUCAACUGACACAGUGCGGGGGCAUAACUCAUGUACAACCUAGGUAGCACCUAAAUGGCAGCUUCAGCUUAAAAGGCUGAGUAAUACAUUUGACAAAACGUGGCAAGCACUGAGAAUGGGGGGAAAGGGAGAACAGCAGAACAAGCUUAAGGGAACAAGCUUCUUUAGGUGGUGAGCCGAGGCAUGAAUGGAAACUGAUGAGGACAGCUCAAGGCAGGAAUCAUAAACCCAGAGGAUAGCAGUGAGUACGCAAACAGGACAGGAUGUUUUCAGCCAUGUGGGUGUCUGUUCUCUCAACUCUAGCAAUACCUGCCUAAAAAUAUGAAGUUGAACCCAGAUCAGUUAAACCCAAGGCAACCUCUGCCUUAAUCAAAACAAAAUCCAAGUUUGGGGAUUUCGUACAAUACCCAAUGAAAAUCACAUACGAUGUUUUAAAUAAUUACACAUCCUUUAAAAAAAUUGAAGGAUGUCCUCGUCUCUUAUUAAAGGACGUUAGUCCUACCAUACUGCAGAAAUUAAAUACUUACUUUUCAUCUGUCAAACACAACAUAAAAGCUACAUACUUUCAUCAGAACCUCAGAUUGUUUGCAUUACGCAAGAAAAGUAUCUUCUUGUCCCAAAUGCUGUUUAACAGUUCUGUCUCAUUCAUAUUCUGAUCUCCACUUAACUUUCAGUAAUCACGGGACUUGGUCUUUAGUUGAGCAUAAACUCUGCUCGGUCCCAGCACUGCCCGAGACGCCGACAGCAGCCGGCACAGACCAUAAACCACCGCAGGCCUCGCCUGGCGGCCAGGAUGCGGUCCCCGAGAUGAGCUGGGGGAAGCCCAGCGCUCGGACACCUGUGGGAGCUCGGAGUUUGGGCUGGGUCCGGGAUGCUCCGCAGCCGAGGCGGCGAGGAAGGCAGCAGGCUGCGGAACGUCCUUCCCUUUCCACAGCCGUGCAGUGCUGUUGCAUUGGAGACAAAACGUCGCUGAAAUCCAACCCGAAUCUGGGCAUCUGCAGCCCAGUGCCGCUUCCACAUCUCCAGGCAGCAGAAGGCUCUCCUGGACUGGGAAGUAAGGCCCUCUGCACCUCUCCAGCUAUUAUGAAGACACUGGUUUAAAUCUAACGACCCCAGAGGGGUCCGGUCCAAAUCAGAACAGUCAUAUUUUGCUGAGUAAGAGAGUAAAGCAGCCAGUCUCGAAAUGCAGCCAUGUUGAAGAUAAUCGUUCAGGAAAUAGACAAAAUCCACAGUUAUUUUUCUGGCAAGGCUGCUGUGGAUUGGUCCCAUAAUGUCUGUAGCAUUUACAGAUUCCACAACUAAACUGAAAAAAUCAUCCUGUUUCUGAAAUCUGUUAAAGAACAUGCAAAUCUAGUUACAGUGGUAUAUUCCUACUGAAAUCUGUAUUGUUUCAACUUAUGCAUAUAUCUCCAUAUUUUAAAAGUAAUAUUAAGUUUUAAAGCACAAUUAUACACAGAUUAGCAAAACGUUUUCCACAAAUACAUACAAAUGUGUUGCAGUGCCACACGAACAAAAAGUGUAAGAAAAUACACUGAGAAAAGUUUCUGAACUAGGAGAGGAAAAUUGUCUUCAACCUGUAUUACGUAAAGACUGGUUUAAUGGCUGGUGGUGAAAACUGGAAAGGAGGAAAAAGAAUUUAAUGAAUGAAAUCCAGCUUUUGGGAGGCCAAAGAAAAAUCUGUUUCCUGAAGCACUGGAAACGUGACUUGAGAAAACCCACAAACUCCAGACGAUUCAGCUGAGGCUGCUGGUGUAAUCAGAGAAUGAAUCAUAAUCUCACUUAAGCUUCUGCAAUUUCAUUUCGUUAGUCAGAGCAAGCAGCAUCUUCACGUAUAUUCAUCCCUCCUUAGAAAGAAAGUAGAAUGGACAUGGAUGCUUACCAGAAAGCCCUGAUUUUAUGCCAGAAGCGAACACAACUAGAGUAAGUUGGAAGUGCUAGAGAGCGUUGCACAAAUGUGGUGUGUGAAGAUUUUUUUUCCCUCAAAUUUCUAAGCUGUGAGCUUUUGCUGUUAAUUUGAUCCUCUUUUCUGGGAUGAAGAGCUCUCCAGGAAGUGUAGUGUGCCGCAUUUUUAGUCUUCAGUGGGUAUUGCUAAUUUUAUACCUAAAUGAGGCAAACUAAAGACUACUUGUAAAAGGUGACAUUGUACAUUCAUUGUGCUGUUUACAUACCAUUCAUUCCUUUUAUUGCUGAGGACUUUACAUGAACAGUCAGCAAGAUAGAUCUUGAACAGGUACAGUAUUUUCAGUGAACCAAUGCCAGUUUACACAAAUAGUGUCAAUUUACAACUGAGCUCCAGCCUUGGCUGAGGACAAUGCAGUCUGUUAGAAACCAGAUUAAAAAUAUUUGAGCUUGUGUUUGUGUUCUUGGUUGUUCAUGGGAGAGCAAAUUACCUGAGCCACAAGGUUUUAUUAAAAAAAAAAAAAAGCACUAUGAAAAUACACCCAGUAUCUUACACCCAGUGAUUUUUCUUUAAACAUGUCUAAAAUACCAAAUGAGAAGUUCUAUUACUUGUUUCUGAUAUUUUUGGCUUAUAGCUGAACUAUUCCUAGUGCAUAAGGAAUUUGAGGAAAGGAAAAAGAAAACCAGCCUCACAGAUCUAUUACUUGCUAAAAAUCCUGCUAAAAUUACACUUGGAAAAAUUUGUAUGUCUGAGGUACCACAUUGGGGGUGUUUGGUCACAAGGUGCUCUCAAUCUAACUGUGCCUGUUUGGAAUCCUAUUGCAGUAACUCCAUCGCAAACAUAAAGAGGAUCACGUAGUUGGUUAAAGAAAUGUUCUGUCCUCUAGCUGUUAUUUGAUAAUAAGAAUAAUAAAUUGUUAUUUGAACAGAAGAGAUUCUACUCAAAACCUAAAGAAAAACAGGUCCUAUUUAUGAAUGUCUGCCAAACUAUAUAGGGUUCGGAGGAAGGUCCCUUUGGAAUAGUGCUUCUACCAGUCUGUCAUACUUUGUGAAAUUUCCAUGAUGUCAACACUGGGAAAGAAAUACAGAGAAAGUUCCCAUGCAUUCAAACAGUAACUAAACUGGAAGUAUUAUCUGAUCACUCAAAAAAAAAAAAAAACCAAAAAAAAAAAAA